RNAcentral lists this ribosomal RNA (446 nucleotides) under uncultured bacterium. RNAcentral describes it as "bacterial SSU rRNA". It matches the Rfam family "Bacterial small subunit ribosomal RNA", at positions 329 to 792 of the family's 1533-position model. The record is from RNAcentral.
UGCCAGACUCCUACGGGAGGCAGCAGUGGGGAAUAUUGCACAAUGGGGGAAACCCUGAUGCAGCGACGCCGCGUGAGCGAUGAAGUAUUUCGGUAUGUAAAGCUCUAUCAGCAGGGAAGAAAAUGACGGUACCUGACUAAGAAGCCCCGGCUAACUACGUGCCAGCAGCCGCGGUAAUACGUAGGGGGCAAGCGUUAUCCGGAUUUACUGGGUGUAAAGGGAGCGUAGACGGCAGUGCAAGUCCGGAGUGAAAGCCCGGGGCCCAACCCUGGGACUGCUCUGGAAACUGUAAAGCUGGAGUGCGGGAGGGGCAGGCGGAAUUCCUGGCGUAGCGGUGAAAUGCGUAGAUAUCAGGAGGAACACCGGUGGCGAAGGCGGCCUGCUGGACUGCAACUGACGUUGAGGCCCGAAAGCGUGGGGAGCAAACAGGAUUAGAUACCCGAGUA